RNAcentral lists this small RNA (397 nucleotides) under Arabidopsis thaliana (thale cress). RNAcentral's name for it is "ATSL243730". The record is from RNAcentral. Lineage: Eukaryota; Viridiplantae; Streptophyta; Magnoliopsida; Brassicales; Brassicaceae.
AAAAAAGGGACAUAGUGACGGUUUGACAUCGUAGUUACCGUUUAAUGCUGUAGCUAAAUUUCUAAAUCAAUGGUCGGUGAAAAGGAAAAUUAAAGCUAAAGUGCAACAUUUUAAUGUUUGUAGAGUACUAACGUUUUGAUUCACAUAACUAAGGCCCGUUUGUUUCUCCAUCCAAAUGAAUUAUCUAGAUAGAGAUAAAAAAUGAUGUUUGUUUUUCACAAUUUAACAUAUUAUUUGGAUGAAUCACUAGGAUGAUCCAUCUGAAUGACUUUGUAAAUUUAGACAAAUUUUUAAAACUCAUUUAGAUGGACAUAGUUGACCAUUUGGAUGGAGAUGAUUUAGUUAAAAAGAAUAAAUGACAAAUAUAACGUUUGUAAUAAUACUAAUUUUCAAUAAA